AUCGCUUCUCGGCCUUUUGGCUAAGAUCAAGUGUGGAGUGAUGGUGCAAAGUUUUACAUUUCUUAUUCCCCAAUAGUUUUCAAUCCAGUAUUUUUGUUGCAUGAUAAAUAUUGUAUAAAUUUCACACACAAAUAUAUGGCCUUUC
RNAcentral lists this small nuclear RNA (145 nucleotides) under Nomascus leucogenys (northern white-cheeked gibbon). RNAcentral's name for it is "U2 spliceosomal RNA". It matches the Rfam family "U2 spliceosomal RNA". From Rfam's summary of the family: U2 is a small nuclear RNA (snRNA) component of the spliceosome (involved in pre-mRNA splicing). Complementary binding between U2 snRNA (in an area lying towards the 5' end but 3' to hairpin I) and the branchpoint sequence (BPS) of the intron results the bulging out of an unpaired adenosine, on the BPS, which initiates a nucleophilic attack at the intronic 5' splice site, thus starting the first of two transesterification reactions that mediate splicing. The record is from Rfam by way of RNAcentral. Lineage: Eukaryota; Metazoa; Chordata; Mammalia; Primates; Hylobatidae.